RNAcentral lists this long non-coding RNA (231 nucleotides) under Medicago truncatula (barrel medic). RNAcentral's name for it is "long non-coding RNA (MTRU_LNC004479)". Lineage: Eukaryota; Viridiplantae; Streptophyta; Magnoliopsida; Fabales; Fabaceae. The record is from RNAcentral.
UGUAACACCCCGUUUUCCCAAUAUCAAAAUUUCUUUAAAAACAUAACAUUUAUCAGAGUAAACAUCAAACAACGGGAUAUCACAUAUAACGUAGUCCAACAGUUAAAUAAUAAUUUAACCAAUAUCUUAAACAUUGCAGCGGAAAAUCAUAAACAUAAUUCAUAUGAAAUGUUUUGGCACGCAGGCCCCAACAGAGUAUCUCAAAAGAGUUUAUCAAACAUAAAUUAUCAU